This 465-nucleotide ribosomal RNA is filed under the name Vreelandella stevensii. Its description in RNAcentral is "partial 16S ribosomal RNA". It matches the Rfam family "Bacterial small subunit ribosomal RNA", at positions 338 to 795 of the family's 1533-position model. Lineage: Bacteria; Pseudomonadati; Pseudomonadota; Gammaproteobacteria; Oceanospirillales; Halomonadaceae. The record is from RNAcentral.
CCUACGGGAGGCAGCAGUGGGGAAUAUUGGACAAUGGGCGAAAGCCUGAUCCAGCCAUGCCGCGUGUGUGAAGAAGGCCUUCGGGUUGUAAAGCACUUUCAGUGGGGAAGAAAGCCUUGGGGCUAAUACCCUCGAGGAAGGACAUCACCCACAGAAGAAGCACCGGCUAACUCCGUGCCAGCAGCCGCGGUAAUACGGAGGGUGCGAGCGUUAAUCGGAAUUACUGGGCGUAAAGCGUGCGUAGGCGGUCUGAUAAGCCGGUUGUGAAAGCCCCGGGCUCAACCUGGGAACGGCAUCCGGAACUGUCAGGCUAGAGUGCAGGAGAGGAAGGUAGAAUUCCCGGUGUAGCGGUGAAAUGCAUAGAGAUCGGGAGGAAUACCAGUUGCGAAGGCGGCCUUCUGGACUGACACUGACGCUGAGGUGCGAAAGCGUGGGUAGCAAACAGGAUUAGAUACCCUUGUAGUC